RNAcentral lists this ribosomal RNA (305 nucleotides) under uncultured bacterium. Its description in RNAcentral is "partial 16S ribosomal RNA". It matches the Rfam family "Bacterial small subunit ribosomal RNA", at positions 57 to 352 of the family's 1533-position model. The record is from RNAcentral.
CCCCGUCCCGGCCGGACCCGGGACGGCCACGGGUUACGGAGGUAAACGAACCGUUAACUUGGAAAACCCUUAGGCCCCGGUUAAGCAGGGGGAUAAGCGGAAGAAAUUCCGUCUAAUACCGCGUAACAACCCGAGGAGGCAUCUCCUCGGGUUUAAAGAAGCGAUUCCGGCUACGGAUGGUCAUGCGUCGCAUUAGCUAGUUGGCGGGGUAACGCCCACCAAGGCGACGAUGCGUAGGGGUUCUGAGAGGAAGGUCCCCCACACUGGUACUGAGACACGGACCAGACUCCUACGGGAGGCAGCAG